CUUUAUUUUCCAAUACAGUAGUGUCCACAUAUCCCAUCUUGCACGUACACACACAGAGGUGAGAGUGAAUAUGUCACCUCUGGAGCAUUUUUUGAUGGGUUAAAGGGGGACCGUGGGAGAACACGGCUUCAGCUCUCUGAAGCAGCACUCACCCUGGAAAGGGAGAUUAACUCCAGAUUUACCUACACUGAUUGUACGCUCUUCAUUACGUUACUCUGAAGGGACAUCAAUCACAGUCUAUCAGAAAUCCAGGAAAUCCUUAAGAACAGUGUAUCAGGUCUUAAAGUGGCGCUCUAGCAGUAGCCGCGCCGUGCUUAAGGUGGUGCCUCAGCAGUAGCCGCGCCGUGCUUAAGGUGGCACCUUAGUGUGCUUAAGGUGGCGCCUCAGCAGUAGCCGCGCCGUGCUUAAGGUGGCGCCUCAGCAGUAGCCGCGCUGUGCUUAAGGUGGCAACUUAGUGUGCUUAAGGUGGCGCCUCAGCAGUAGCCACGCCGUGCUUAAGGUGGCGCCUCAGCAGUAGCCGCGCCGUGCUUAAGGUGGCGCCUCAGCAGUAGCCGCGCUGUGCUUAAGGUGGCACCUUAGUGUGCUUAAGGUGGCGCCUCAGCAGUAGCCGCGCCGUGCUUAAGGUGGCGCCUCAGCAGUAGCCGCGCCGUGCUUAAGGUGGCGCCUCAGCAGUAGCCGCGCCGUGCUUAAGGUGGCGCCUCAGCAGUAGCCGCGCCGUGCUUAAGGUGGCGCCUCAGCAGUAGCCGCGCCGUGCUUAAGGUGGCGCCUCAGCAGUAGCCGCGCCGUGCUUAAGGUGGCGCCUCAGCAGUAGCCGCGCUGUGCUUAAGGUGGCGCCUUAGUGUGCUUAAGGUGGCGCCUUAGCAGUAGCCGCGCCGUACUUAAGGUGGCGCCUCAGCAGUAGCC
Long non-coding RNA from Brienomyrus brachyistius, 903 nucleotides. RefSeq lists it as uncharacterized. The transcript is spliced from 3 exons. The record is from RefSeq and is a predicted model, not a curated record. NCBI's taxonomy places the organism in Eukaryota, Metazoa, Chordata, Actinopteri, Osteoglossiformes, Mormyridae.